GAAAAGACAACUUUAGAAAGGGAUGCUGCUAAUGAAAUGGCAACAAUUGGAGAAGCAAUGCCAGUUGGUUUUCAGUGAAAAUGAAGUCUUAAUGAAACGUCAGGAGUUGCAAAAUCAAAAGUUAGAAGAGCUCACAGCAUUCUACUGUCAAUGAUAGCCGAAGAAAGUUGAGUGAAUUACGGGAAAAGACGCAAGAAGAAAUCAACUCCCUCGCUUCUCAGCUGCAGGGUCUGCGAAAUGAGAAUAACAAUCUGUCGAUGCAAUUAGCAGAUUGUAAGUUGGUUAAUGCGCAAUUAGAAACAGAGAUUCACAGUUUCACAGAAUUUCAAAGAAAAAAUGAGCGUAAGACUGUACUUCUUAAAGAACAAUUUUCCCAUCUUCAUCAAAGGGAGGCUGCCGGGCAAAACACCCUAAGUGAAGUACUAAAAGUGGCUGAAAAGACAACUUUAGAAAGGGAUGCUGCUAAUGAAAUGGCAACAAUUGGAGAAGCAAUGCCAGUUGGUUUUCAGUGAAAAUGAAGUCUUAAUGAAACGUCAGGAGUUGCAAAAUCAAAAGUUAGAAGAGCUCACAGCAUUCUACUGUCAAUGAUAGCCGAAGAAAGUUGAGUGAAUUACGGGAAAAGACGCAAGAAGAAAUCAACUCCCUCGCUUCUCAGCUGCAGGGUCUGCGAAAUGAGAAUAACAAUCUGUCGAUGCAAUUAGCAGAUUGUAAGUUGGUUAAUGCGCAAUUAGAAACAGAGAUUCACAGUUUCACAGAAUUUCAAAGAAAAAAUGAGCGUAAGACUGUACUUCUUAAAGAACAAUUUUCCCAUCUUCAUCAAAGGGAGGCUGCCGGGCAAAACACCCUAAGUGAAGUACUAAAAGUGGCUGAAAAGACAACUUUAGAAAGGGAUGCUGCUAAUGAAAUGGCAACAAUUGGAGAAGCAAUGCCAGUUGGUUUUCAGUGAAAAUGAAGUCUUAAUGAAACGUCAGGAGUUGCAAAAUCAAAAGUUAGAAGAGCUCACAGCAUUCUACUGUCAAUGAUAG
Molecule: long non-coding RNA, 1025 nt
Filed under: Dendronephthya gigantea
Lineage: Eukaryota; Metazoa; Cnidaria; Anthozoa; Malacalcyonacea; Nephtheidae
Description: uncharacterized LOC114544574
Source: RNAcentral